CCUACGGGUGGCAGCAGUGGGGAAUAUUGGACAAUGGGCGAAAGCCUGAUCCAGCCAUGCCGCGUGUGUGAAGAAGGCCUUCGGGUUGUAAAGCACUUUCAGUGCGGAAGAAAGCCUUGGGGCUAAUACCCUCGAGGAAGGACAUCACCCACAGAAGAAGCACCGGCUAACUCCGUGCCAGCAGCCGCGGUAAUACGGAGGGUGCGAGCGUUAAUCGGAAUUACUGGGCGUAAAGCGCGCGUAGGCGGUCUGAUAAGCCGGUUGUGAAAGCCCCGGGCUCAACCUGGGAACGGCAUCCGGAACUGUCAGGCUAGAGUGCAGGAGAGGAAGGUAGAAUUCCCGGUGUAGCGGUGAAAUGCGUAGAGAUCGGGAGGAAUACCAGUGGCGAAGGCGGCCUUCUGGACUGACACUGACGCUGAGGUGCGAAAGCGUGGGUAGCAAACAGGAUUAGAUACCCCUGUAGUC
Molecule: ribosomal RNA, 465 nt
Filed under: Vreelandella stevensii
Lineage: Bacteria; Pseudomonadati; Pseudomonadota; Gammaproteobacteria; Oceanospirillales; Halomonadaceae
Description: partial 16S ribosomal RNA
Rfam family: Bacterial small subunit ribosomal RNA
Source: RNAcentral